UACAGAGACUGCAAGCGUUAUUCGGAUUCACUGGGCGUAAAGGGUGCGCAGGCGGCCAAGUGUGUCAGGUGUGAAAUCCCGGGGCUUAACUCCGGAACUGCGCCUGAAACUACUUGGCUAGAGCAUUGGAGAGGGAAGUGGAAUUCACGGUGUAGCAGUGAAAUGCGUAGAUAUCGUGAGGAACACCAGUAGCGAAGGCGGCUCGCUGGGCCAUUCCUGACGCUGAGACGCGAAAGCUAGGGGAGCGAACAGG
RNAcentral lists this ribosomal RNA (253 nucleotides) under uncultured bacterium. RNAcentral describes it as "partial 16S ribosomal RNA". It matches the Rfam family "Bacterial small subunit ribosomal RNA", at positions 524 to 776 of the family's 1533-position model. The record is from RNAcentral.